Molecule: long non-coding RNA, 2506 nt
Organism: Diceros bicornis minor
Lineage: Eukaryota; Metazoa; Chordata; Mammalia; Perissodactyla; Rhinocerotidae
Exons: 3
Source: RefSeq, a predicted model, not a curated record
GCCUUUUACAGAAAAGACUGAGCUUACGUGAUCUGACUUCCCAGAGCCAGGAUUUGAACUCAGCAAAGUCAAAAUGGAAGAACUAUUCCUUCAAAAAUGCGCAUAAGAGUUGACUAGAGCAUCAUGGCGGAGUGAGCCCUCACCCUAGACUCUUUCCCCUUAGAAUAUCCCUGCUAAGAUACAACAAAAAGUACAUUCAUAUAGCAACAGAGGACAUUCACACAACACAAAUGACGUCUGAGAGAUGCGCACACACCCAUACAUCUGAAGCUGGAGGUCCUGGAACCCCCAGAGGAAAUGGAAGGAGGGCAGAGACAUAUGGGUUCAGUAAAUGUACACAGUCUGAUUUGGACAUUCACCACGUGUUCUGCAUUUGGAAGAAGAUGACCAACUUUACAGAUGCCAUUCAGGACAUCCCUGGAUACACUACUUACCUCAACCUGACACAGAACCAAAUUCAGGUCUUUCCUCCUUAUUUUUUCACUAAUUUGUCUGCUCUGGUGGACUUGUAACUGGAGUAGAAUUCCAUUUGGAAGAAGAUGAGAGGGCCUUUUGGGCACUUGAAAACCUGACCCUUUUGAAUUUAGUAGAAAAUAAGAUUCAAAGUGUGAACAACUCCUUUGAGGGCCUGCACAACUUGGAGACUUUGCUCUUGAGCCACAAUCAAAUUACCCAAAAUCACAAAAAUGCCUUUGUCCCUCUUGUCAAAUCGAAAUAUUUAAGCUUAUAUCAAAACUUUAUUACCGGUUUUUCCAAUAUCCUUGAAGCAGUACAGCAUCUUCCGCACCUGCAAUACCUUGAUCUUGCUAACAAUAGCAUCAUCUCAUUGGACCACAGCCCCAGGUCAUUGGCCUCCCUGACCCACCUGAGACUGCAGGGGAACAAACUAAUGGAAUUAAAUUUCUCUGCCUAAUCUGACCACUCUGGAUGUGUCUCAGAAUAGCCAUUGAAUCACCCACAAUGUGGAUCUGGAAACUCUACCCCAACUGAGGAGCUUGAAUGUGAAUGGAAUACUGGUGAAACAAGAGAUGCUUCCAGACAAACACCUAUAGAAUCUAAGGUAAAUGGACCUCAGUAACUAGAAGUUUAGAGGUGGUCACUUAAACUUGAAAACAGUGUGUCACCUCAUCAGAAACUUACCCAUAUUAGAGGCUUUGGUGUUUCAGAAAAAUGCCACUGAUGCAGGGGGCAUAAAGUGCCUUGCCAAUUGUACCAGUCUUUUGUCCCUUAACUUGAGCCAAAGCAAUGAUCUGCUUCACCUCAGUCACAGUGAGUUUGAUACUAUGCCCAGCCUCCAAAGGCUGAAUCUAAACAAAUGUCAACUUUCCUUUGUCAGCAACAGGACCUGGAGUGCCCUCCAGACCUUGACAGCCACAACAGAUUUAAAAGAUUUCCAGAUUUUGCAUUUUCACCCUAGAGGUACCUACAAUCUCUCAUCACAGAACUCAAUAAUAUAGCCUUCUGUGGGCAGUAUUUAUUGAAGGAACUCAACUUGGCUGGGUGCUAGAUAGUGAAAAUUGACAAAUAUUCCUUUGCUCAAUUUCCAAGUUUAAAGAGUUUAGACCUUGGAGACAAUAUUCAGACUCUGAAGCACAGAACCUUUCAGUUUCUGAAGAAGCUCCAAGUUCUGCUUCUCUGCCAGAACUGCCUGAAAGCUAUAGAGAAUGCAUUUUCUGGCCUCACUUACCUUUAUAGAUUUGACCUGGCAUACAAUAUCUUGUCAAGUUUUCAGGCAAGGCUUUUCCUGGGCCUUGAGAAUCUAGAAGUUUUGAAUCUCAGUUUUAAUAAAAUUACAUAUGAAACCACUAGGACCUUGCUAUUUCCUCCAUUUAUGAACCUCAAGUCUUUGAAACAACUCAACCUAGAAGGACAAAUACAUGGGAUUCAGGUUGUACCAACCAACUUCUUCUAAGGACUGAAUGGCAUGCAGGAGCUACUCCUAGGAAAAAAAUCCCAUUGUAUUCCUGGACCACCUCCAAUUUGACUCCCUGACUAAUCUCACGAAGUUAGAUAUCUCAGGAACAAAAGCUUGAGGCCAAAAUAUCGAUUUAAAUAUUUCCUUAUUCCAAAAACUCAAAAGACUAAAAAAUGCUGUGCCUGGAAAACAAGAACUUAGAGUCACUGACUCCUGGCAUGUUCUCUGGUUUAGAAAGCCUUCAGGUCUUCUCUUUAAGAUUCAACAACCUAAAAGUCAUUAAUCAAAGUCAUCUGGAGAAUCUGAAGUCUCUGAUGUACUUCAAUCUCUAUGGGAACAAACUUCAGUGCAACUGUGACAAUGUGUGGUUUAAGAACCGGUCAAUAGGGCCGGCCCCAUGGCUUAGCGGUUAAGUGCGUGUGCUCUGCUGCUGGCGGCCCGGGUUCGGAUCCCAGGCGUGCACCGACGCACCGCUUCUCCGGGCAUCCUGAGGCCACGUCCCACAUACAGCAAUUAGAGGGAUGUGCAGCAAUGACAUACAACUAUCUACUGGGGCUUUGGGGGAAAAAAAUAAAUAAAAUCUUUAAAAAA